GUGAGGAAUAUUGGUCAAUGGGCGUAGGCCUGAACCAGCCAAGUAGCGUGCAGGAAGACUGCCCUAUGGGUUGUAAACUGCUUUUAUGCGGGAAUAAAGUCAGGUACGCGUACCUGUUUGCAUGUACCGCAUGAAUAAGGACCGGCUAAUUCCGUGCCAGCAGCCGCGGUAAUACGGAAGGUCCGGGCGUUAUCCGGAUUUAUUGGGUUUAAAGGGAGCGCAGGCGGAAGAUUAAGCGUGACGUGAAAUGUCCCGGCUCAACCGUGGAACUGCGUCGCGAACUGGUUUUCUUGAGUGAGUGCGACGUCGGCGGAAUUCGUGGUGUAGCGGUGAAAUGCUUAGAUAUCACGAAGAACCCCGAUUGCGAAGGCAGCCGACGAGUCCUUAACUGACGCUAAAGCUCGAAAGUGCGGGUAUCGAACAGG
This 425-nucleotide ribosomal RNA is filed under the name uncultured rumen bacterium. Its description in RNAcentral is "bacterial SSU rRNA". It matches the Rfam family "Bacterial small subunit ribosomal RNA", at positions 354 to 776 of the family's 1533-position model. The record is from RNAcentral.